This 253-nucleotide ribosomal RNA is filed under the name uncultured bacterium. RNAcentral describes it as "partial 16S ribosomal RNA". It matches the Rfam family "Bacterial small subunit ribosomal RNA", at positions 524 to 776 of the family's 1533-position model. The record is from RNAcentral.
UACGAAGGGGGCUAGCGUUGCUCGGAAUCACUGGGCGUAAAGGGCGCGUAGGCGGGCUCUUAAGUCAGGGAUGAAAGCCCAAGGCUCAACCUUGGAAUUGCCUUUGAUACUGAGGGCCUUGAGACCGGAAGAGGUCGGCGGAACUGCGAGUGUAGAGGUGAAAUUCGUAGAUAUUCGCAAGAACACCAGUGGCGAAGGCGGCCGACUGGUCCGGUUCUGACGCUGAGGCGCGAAAGCGUGGGGAGCAAACAGG